RNAcentral lists this ribosomal RNA (465 nucleotides) under uncultured bacterium. RNAcentral describes it as "partial 16S ribosomal RNA". It matches the Rfam family "Bacterial small subunit ribosomal RNA", at positions 28 to 507 of the family's 1533-position model. The record is from RNAcentral.
GACGAACGCUGGCGGCGUGCUUAACACAUGCAAUUCGAACGGAAAGGCCCUGCUUGCAGGGUACUCGAGUUGCGAACGGGUGAGUAACACGUGGGUGAUCUGCCCUUCACUUCGGGAUAAGCCUGGGAAACUUGGUCUAAUACCGGAUAGGAUCCAUUUUUAGUGUGAUGGUUGGAAAGUUUUUUCGGUGUAGGAUGAGCUCGCGGCCUAUCAUCUUGUUGUUGGGGUAAUGGCCUACCAAGGCGGCGACGGGUAGCCGGCCUGAGAGGGUGGACGGACAAAGUGGGACUGAGAUAAGGCCCAGACUCCGACGGGAGGCAGCAGUGGGGAAUAUUGCACAAGGGGCGGAAGACUGAUGCAGCGACGCCGCGUGGGGGAUGACGGACUUCGGGUUGUAAACUCGUUUCGCUAGGGACGAAGCUUUUUGUGACGGUACCUAGAUAAGAAGCACCGGCUAACUACGUG